Molecule: unclassified non-coding RNA, 215 nt
Filed under: plant metagenome
Description: partial contains small subunit ribosomal RNA, internal transcribed spacer 1, and 5.8S ribosomal RNA
Source: RNAcentral
UUUCCGUAGGUGAACCUGCGGAAGGAUCAUUCAUAAUAAAGUGUUUUAUGGCACUUUUUAAAAAUCCAUAUCCACCUUGUGUGCAAUGUUAGAUCUCGUCAAUCUUGGCGAGAUUUUUAUACAUCAACUCAUUCUUUAACUAAUUUGUCUGAAAAAUAUUAUGAAUACUUAAUUCAAAAUAAAUACAACUUUCAACAACGGAUCUCUUGGCUCUC